ACGGAUGUAGCCAAGUGGAUCAAGGUAGUGGAUUGUGAAUCCACCAUGCGCGGGUUCAAUUUCCGUCGUUCGUC
Non-coding RNA from Punica granatum (pomegranate), 74 nucleotides. The record is from Rfam. Lineage: Eukaryota; Viridiplantae; Streptophyta; Magnoliopsida; Myrtales; Lythraceae.